This 87-nucleotide non-coding RNA is filed under the name Oxobacter pfennigii. RNAcentral's name for it is "c-di-GMP sequence". It matches the Rfam family "c-di-GMP-I riboswitch aptamer". Rfam says of the family: GEMM was predicted in a large-scale screen for bacterial structured RNA regulatory elements. Lineage: Bacteria; Bacillati; Bacillota; Clostridia; Eubacteriales; Clostridiaceae. The record is from Rfam by way of RNAcentral.
AAUUGUAAAUAGCAAACUCAUCGAAAGGUGGAGACGCAAAGCUACGAGUCUAAAGCAGUUUACUGCCAUGACAGUCGGGUUGCCAAU